GGGGGUGCACCGGUUUCGACUGUGGUGGUCGAUGCUUGGGCUGCAGGUGAGGCUGCCCGUCCUCUGAACGAGCACAAUAUAUAACUGCGGAUAACACCGACAGUUACGCUCUCGCUGCGUAAGUAGCCAGAACGCGGAAGCCGGUUGCUGCUGCUCCGAAGCAGCCGGACCUUCCGACGCCAACCGGAGCUUGCCGGCCGCCGGGCCUGAACGGCGGCAGGGACACUGACCAGGAUACGGAUCCGACGCUUGCGGCGCUGCCACCGGGUCCCGACAAUCACCUCGCGCCGAUAAACCUGUAGACGCCCCUGUUUCGCACUUCAGGACGGGGGUUCGACUCCCCCCCCCCAUCUCCAAAA
This 359-nucleotide transfer-messenger RNA is filed under the name Treponema sp. It matches the Rfam family "transfer-messenger RNA". Rfam says of the family: Bacterial tmRNA, also known as 10Sa RNA or SsrA, is named for its dual tRNA and mRNA-like properties. Lineage: Bacteria; Pseudomonadati; Spirochaetota; Spirochaetia; Treponematales; Treponemataceae. The record is from RNAcentral. RNAcentral also lists the same sequence under 1 other name.